AAAUAAUCCAGAAAAAAUUAGAACAAUUAUAUAGUGAACUGUUAUGCUUUCACUAGAAAGAUUUCGCCUUUAUGCCCUUUAUUUUUUCUAAAUUUAUUUCUUGCUUGAAACUGCAGUAUGUUAGCUCACUGCUAGAAACAAAGGUUUCCACUAUAAAUCAAUGAGAAAUUUGUGUUGUAAAACAUGAUUUUCCCACCAAUUUACCAUCAAAUCAGCUACCCAGCUCACUGAAAAAUAGCUAUCUGGCGUCAAAAAUGUCACUCUUUUGUCCUAUAAGCAGUUAAGAAUUGCAACAGAUGAAUUUAGUCCUGUGAAUAAAAUUGGAGAGGGUGGAUUUGGUUCUGUUUAUAAGUGUGUAAAUGAAGCAUUCCCAAUCCCGCAAAGGAACAAUCUUGCUAAAGCAGGUGAAAGCAAAGUUGUUGCAGGAGCAAGGGUUUAGAGAAGAAAGCAUUACCGGUGAAACAUACUUUAACAAGGUACGAGAGUAAAGAUGCCACAAUCAUGGAAAGAAGUCCAGUCAAUGAUGAAUGUACAACAACCACUACAAUGUGCCCAGUAUAAUUCCACAAAGCGGGCCUGGGAAGGGUAAAGUGUUGCGUCCUCAGUCACUGAUGAAAGUUUUCUAUUAAAAUUUCAAUAUAUGAUUCAAUGAACGAAGAGUUUAUAAAACUGCUCCCAGGUACAUUAGGCACCAGGUUGGUUAUGUUAUCCUUUAAAUAACUUGUGUCCUCCAACUUUUACAUACUUCUUUACAUCAAGUUAUGUUUAUCGAAUAUACUAUUCCUUCCUGUUCUUUUAAGUUGGACAUAUGCUUAUGAUUGCUCAUGUUAUAAAGCUUUUGAUAGUUCUGUUACAUUAGCGUGGAUAGCUACACAAAGUAUGUCCUUGAAAAAUAAAAUGUUCUUCCUUCCAAAUGUAUCUCAAUUUUUUUAAGACUCCAUGUGGAUUGAAAAAUUAGAGAUACAAAAAAUGGGCAGCGUGGUGCACCAACUCCCGCUAUGCGAAGGGUUUAGGAAAUGGCCGGACCACAAGGAUAUAUUGUAGAACACAUUCAGAAAAUAAGAUUGUAGAACACAUUCAGAAACUAAGAACAUUUUGUUCUUCCAGAUAUAUCUACAAUGAGAUUAUCUUUUCUAAUUCAUGCUCUCAAUUGUACUACUUUGAACUUGCAUUAGUAUAUAGACUUGCUACCAGCUGUUUCAAAAUAUAUUUUACCACUAAAGAUUAAAAGAGUGAUGAAUUAGUUUGAGAUGCAAUUCCUAUUUUGGGAAAAGUGAGCAAGAAGUAAUUGACAUGUCUCUUCCAACUAAUUCACAUUAAUCUAAAUAUUCACACACGGACGUGUCCUUUCAUUUUAUUCUUCAUCCCUCUGCUUCUGUUUCUCCACUAUCAUUCUUUCCACAUUCUUGCUUGAGCUCUCCCUUCUAUCUCACCUCUCUUUCACUUCUGUUGUUGUCAUCUUCAUGAAAGAGGGUUGAAAAUGCAAGACAAUUCAGUGUAAGAAGGAAUCGAAGAGAGGCCAUCAAUUACAGCACGGAAGUUGCAAGGAUAUGGAUGCAAAAGCAUACCAAUAACUUGUAUUGAGUAAUCUCUUAUUUAUUUUAUUCAGUGUUCAAUCUGGAACGGUGAGCAAUUACCCAUCAUGUAAUGGAAUAAGUGAAUCAAGAUAUAAUUAGUCUUACCCGUAAGACAAAUAUUAGAAUACAUGAAUCAAGAAUUAUCAAGAAGGCAGGCUUCUAAAGCACUUCCCUUACUUCGGAAUUUCCCUCCCCGAAAAGUCACUUGUAUGUAAAACAGUAUGCCACAUCUUAUUGAGGUAAUGAUAUUGACUGAAUUUAAAUUACUUUAAAUGACUCUGUAUCAGCAUUUUGACAACCUUUGCAUCUCUAGGUAUUAUUAAAAAGGUCAGUUCUACAUGCAUUUAAGGGGUUCACGGGUCAAUUUGCUUCAAUUGCAGUACAUUUGGUGCUGUUCCUUGUAAUGUCUGGAGACACUCUUAGUGCAACAGGCAGUUUUGGAGGCAAUGUGACUGUUUCAUUAUGAUUAGAUGCGUUGUGGGGGAUGUACUUGCACCAUUGGGUGAUCUAUCGAAUCUUUCUAAUGCUUUUAGUACAGAUGUCCGUGUCAACUGAUUCUACAUGAACUGUGAUGAAAAUGAAGAGGUAUGCAUAUUCAAACUAUGUAAGGUACUCACACCUAUGGCUUACCUUUUACAAGCUGACAAUGAGAUUCCAUUUCCUUUUUCCCUGCUUCACCUUAACGGAAAGAAAGUACUGAGAAAAAUCAUAAGUGUGAAUGAUCCCUUAAUGUACAGAGGUAUCACAAUAAUCUCUUUUUUCACCAAAACUAUUAUUUUCUAAAACGGAAAGGAACUACUGCAGAGAUCAUAAUUGUAAAUGAUCCCUUUAGGUGUAGUGGCAUCACCAUAAUCUCCUUUCCACCAAUUUUUUUAUUUUUUUUAUUUUAUGAGUUUCAAAUUUGGCGUUGCUGAAAACAAAAGUUAUGGUGAAAAAAUUGAAAUCUUUAACUUAACGAGAAUCCUAUGUUUUAUAAGUUCUCAUUAUUUCUACUACUGUUCUGAUUUUUUUCCUCCUUAAUUCUUAAAUACAGAUUAUUACUAGCUCCUGAUUUGCAGUCGGUUAUUCUUUAUGAUAAACAAGGUAAUUAAGUGAAGUUAAGACAGCCAAACUCGUAUCUUUUAAUUGAGAUUCAUGAUUUGCAGGCUGCAGCAGCAUAGCCAACAUAUGAAACUUGAGUGUGUGUGUGUGUGAGAGAGUGAGAGAAAGAGGCACUGCAAGAUUUAUAUCAAGUGAACUUUUUAUAGCGGGUGUUGAAGAGAAUGCUAGGAAAGGCAUUAUCUUCAAGAAAGUGAAAACAACUUAACACAGAAACUUCCUUGAUAUUGAAAGCUUGGCCUUUUAUAGGUCUUCAGUUUCUUCAGAUGUAUUCAAUAAACGGUUUGCAAUUUUGGUAUUGGAAGUGAAUCUCCUACUCAUAUGUAUACAGUAUAUAGUCAUAGUUGUUGAACACUUAUCCUAUUUUUGUUUUGAUUAGUACCUGAUGAUGAUUUUCUUUAAA
Molecule: long non-coding RNA, 3078 nt
Organism: Capsicum annuum
Lineage: Eukaryota; Viridiplantae; Streptophyta; Magnoliopsida; Solanales; Solanaceae
Exons: 3
Source: RefSeq, a predicted model, not a curated record